UGGGGAAUCUUCCGCAAUGGGCGAAAGCCUGACGGAGCAACGCCGCGUGAGUGAUGACGGCCUUCGGGUUGUAAAACUCUGUGAUCCGGGACGAAAAGGCAGAGUGCGAAGAACAAACUGCAUUGACGGUACCGGAAAAGCAAGCCACGGCUAACUACGUGCCAGCAGCCGCGGUAAUACGUAGGUGGCAAGCGUUGUCCGGAAUUAUUGGGCGUAAAGCGCGCGCAGGCGGCUUCCCAAGUCCCUCUUAAAAGUGCGGGGCUUAACCCCGUGAUGGGAAGGAAACUGGGAAGCUGGAGUAUCGGAGAGGAAAGUGGAAUUCCUAGUGUAGCGGUGAAAUGCGUAGAGAUUAGGAAGAACACCGGUGGCGAAGGCGACUUUCUGGACGAAAACUGACGCUGAGGCGCGAAAGCGUGGGGAGCAAACAGG
This 429-nucleotide ribosomal RNA is filed under the name uncultured bacterium. RNAcentral describes it as "bacterial SSU rRNA". It matches the Rfam family "Bacterial small subunit ribosomal RNA", at positions 355 to 776 of the family's 1533-position model. RNAcentral also lists the same sequence under 1 other name. The record is from RNAcentral.